AGAACAAAAAAUUAUAUAAGGGUGAGGCCCUUAAAAAUUCCCUAGAUGAGGUUGUUUUGAUGCUAAAAAAUCUUCAAAUUGACUAUCAACCUCAAGAUGUAUGGACAUGAGAAAAAAUGGUCAUUAUUUUUUAAGCACUAAAUUUUAUAAUUGGAUACAAAAAUAAAUUUUCAGACCAUUACAAAGAUUGUUAAGACUAGAACAAUACCU
This 210-nucleotide long non-coding RNA is filed under the name Amborella trichopoda. Its description in RNAcentral is "long non-coding RNA (ATRI_LNC003074)". The record is from RNAcentral. Lineage: Eukaryota; Viridiplantae; Streptophyta; Magnoliopsida; Amborellales; Amborellaceae.